This 5932-nucleotide long non-coding RNA is filed under the name Bemisia tabaci. Its description in RNAcentral is "lncRNA ENSSSA2NGG012715". The record is from RNAcentral. Lineage: Eukaryota; Metazoa; Arthropoda; Insecta; Hemiptera; Aleyrodidae.
CUAGGGAUGAGAGCCUAUCGUCUGUGCCUAUUGCCUCAAGUAAAAUCCAAUUGUGAAAAAUUGUUAUUUAACAUAUGUGCUCAAAUAUUUUUCAGGAUUAUUAUGAUGACAAUGAAGACUGGAGGAAUUGGAAGGAUGAUUGGAAUGAAGAAGAACCAAUGGAUGAAGACUAUAGAAUGCACAAUGAAGAUUACCCAAAUGAAGAAAUGCAUAUGCAAGGUCCUUAUCCUCCCAUGCAAGGCCCUCCGAUGCAAGGACCUUUCCCUCCAAGACCUCCUAUGUUUGAUGGAAAUGGGCCUGGCCCUCUCGGCCCAGGUGGCCCUGGUCCCCAUGGUCCAGGUGGUCCUGGACAUCACGGUCCUGGUGGUCCUGGUCCUCACGGUCCAGGUGGUCCCGGUCCCCACGGUCCAGGUGGUCCUGGGCCCCACGGUCCAGGUGGUCCUGGUCCCCACGGUCAAGGUGGUCCCGGUCCCCACGGUCAAGGUGGUCCCGGUCCCCACGGUCAAGGUGGUCCUGGUCCUCAUGGUCCAGGAGGUCCUGGCCCUCAUGGUCCUGGUGGUCCUGGCCCUCAUGGUCCUGGUGGUCCUGGUCUACAUGGUCCAGGUGGUCCUGGCCCCCGUCCUGGUUUUGGGCCGCCUCGAAUGAUGGGCCCACGGCCAAUGGGGCCUCCUGGCCAGCAGUUCCAGGAUAUGUCACAUGGUCAACCAAGAUUCCCCCCUCCUCACUUCAAUCAAGGAGAUGGGGAAGGAGAAUAUAUGGAUGGCCAUGGGCCAGGUGGGCCUGGUCCUCAUGGGCCAGGUGGGCCUGGUCCUCAUGGUCCAGGUGGUCCAGGGCCUCGUGGUCCAGGUGGUCCUGGUCCUCAAGGUCAAGGUGGUCCGGGUGGUCCAGGGCCUCGUGGUCCAGGUGGUCCUGGUCCUCAUGGUCAAGGUGGUCCUGGUCCUCGUGGUCCUGGUCCUCGUGGUCAAGGUGGUCCUGGUCCUCGUGGUCCAGGUUUUGGGCCACCUCGGAUGAUGGGCCCACGACCAAUGGGACCCUCUGGUCCUCCGUUCCAGGAUAGAUCACAUGGUCAGCCAAGAUUUCCUCCACCUCACUUUAAUCAAGAAGAUGGGGAAGAAGAAUACACGGAAAACAAUGAAGAGGAAUAUGAUGAAAAUUACGACAAUAAUUAUGAUCAAAACCAAUUUAAUGAUGGUUACCAUGGCAAUGAUGACCGGUCCAACUUUAGACCCAAUGGUGAAGGUUGGGAUGAAAACUAUUGGGAUGAAAACCAAGAAGAAAUGGAAGACGACAGUUAUAACAACUACGAUGAAGGCAUGAAUCGAGGGAUGCCUCGGGGCCGAAGCAGAGGGCGGCCUCCGUUCAGGGGUCGUGGGCGUGGUCGAGGUCGAGGCAGGGGUAGAGGUAGGGGUGGCAAGCCUGAUUGGUUUGAUGACAGUAAUAGCAAUUACGAUAAUAAUGUAAAUAACAGUAGUAACUUUAGUAGGGGUGGUGGUCAUUCACGAGAUGAUGAUGAAUCAAGAUUCAAAGGCCACAAGAGGUUUGAAGAGGGCGAAGAGAGGCCCCGAGGUCGAGGGCGAGGUAGGGGUGGACCCAAAAGAGCCAGGACUCGGGGUAGGGGUUGGUGAACAUGGAUGUCAGAAAUUUUAAUGGUCACCUCAAUAACUCCUUCAUUCAUUGAUGAUUGUAUUACAAUAGUAUUUCUCCACUUUUGUGCCUCUGAACAAUUUGUUUUAUGGCUUUUAGCUGUGCCAUUUGUUUGGGUUCAUUGCUGCUUUACACAUUCAACAAUUUUGAGGUUUCUUUAAACUGGAUGUUACUGAGCUGACCUUCAAGAGCAGCAUCAAGGCUACAUUUCCCUUAUGCAACUUUUUCAAUCUACUAGAGCAAAACCUCACUGCCACCAUAAAAAUGUAUUAAUUUUUAUAAUGAAGUAGAUUUUUCUAAGCUCUAUUCCCUUUUUUACUCUUUUCGUGGAUUCUUGUGUGCAAAGGAUAAUUUCCUAGUCUACCACCCCACUGUUGCGACUACCAAAUUUCUAUGUGCUCAAGCUUCAUGAAAGCCAAAUUUUUUUUACCUUUACAUACAUUUAGCUCUGUAGUGCUCUCAGCAUUUCUUUUAUUGUAUCUUUUCUGUAAAUUUUGCUCGAAAGUCUUUGGUUAUUUAUAUUAGUCUCUCAUCAUGAGAUGGAAUUGAAGGAAAUAAUGAUGACGUUGAGUAAUAUAUCUCCUUCCAAAUAAUUUCCCAACAUUCAAAAUUUUCCUUUAAGGCUGAGUAAAUUUAACCAAAAUUAAAGCUCAGAGGAAUUUUUAAAAUAAAAAUACCUCGGUCGUUACAUAUUUCGAAUUUUAUUUUUUAUUAUCCAAAGUAUUUAUCUCAGUAAAAAAAAAAGGUGGCUGUGAAGGUUGAAAUCGGUUUGUUCUGGUCUUAUGCCGCCGGUCAUCGACCAUUCAUUAUGGAACAACUUUAUGACUGUGAUUUCAGGUUAAAUCAAUCAGUUAGCUAACUCAACCGGUCACCAUGCCUUAUACAGUCAACAAAGACGCUGUGGUGUCCAUAAUAAUCGGUGUUAUUGUCAACCUGAAAAAAUUCAAAUGUUUUUCAAGGAUCCCUGUUUUUUUGCCUCUCAAUAACUGUUCAUGAUUCAAGUUUGGAGUUAGAAGAAAAAUCUGAAACAUUUUAAACUUUUAAUCAAAGAAUAAUGAUACGUUCCACCUCAUCUGUAUUUCCACUAUCUUAUCUUCAAACCUAUUUAUUCUCUGUAUCAAGUAUGUAGGUCUUUUUUUCCUCUAGUCUGCUAAUUUGUAUUGCAUGAAAGCAAGAAUGUUUUUGAGUCCAGACCAUUGAUUGCUUAUCAAAAUUAUUUGUGAAAUCAUGAUUGUCUCUUGUAAUUUGCACUUCUACUUCAUAGUUCAUGAAGUAAUUUACAGCGAUUUUAGUUUUUUGAAGAAACAUUAUUUAAUUCUUUUGGCCCCUACUUACUUAAUUUUUCUUCUUCAAUACCUGUCACUUUUUAAAUGAUUCAGAGACAUUUUCUAAGUUUUUUGGGCAUUCCAUUGAAUUUUAGAAUAUUGCACCUUCCUUGAAUGUUUUAGGUAUUGUUUUCAUUAAAAAAUUUCUUGGGUGUCCACAAAAUUGAAUAUAAGUUUUUCUGCCGGAGGGAAAAGAAACCCCUGAUUUUCUCCAAUGAUAUGAUUUUAUUUUGGUGCGGGUAGGGAAAUAUUAGCAUGCAGUGGGAGGACCUUUUAAUCCUACCGAAUUUAUAAGCACUACAAAGUUAUCAGCAUUGUAGGAAAACAGUAAUGAUUGUACAAAAUUUUUUGAGCAAAGCUGUGCAUAAAAAUUAUACUCUCCUUGUUUUGUAAAAGAUAGUUUAAGAUCGAUACUUGUCACUAAUCUUGUAUCUUUAGGAAAUUUUCAUAAAAUAUGUAAGGCUACAGGACUUUUCGAUCUCCUCUCCCCCUCCCUCAUAAUGCUUUUGUUACACAUGUCUCUAUCCUUGAACAUAUAAAAACAAAAUGGCUUAAUGCUCUCUUCAAACUCCUCCUCCUUGGAGCGUUACAUAUUUUAUGAACAGCCCUUAUUUUACGCUGCCAACCAUAUUUUUAUGCUUUUAAAUUAAAAAAAAAGUCCACCUAAAAAAGAAGUUUUGAAAAUUUAAUGUACGCGUAAUAGAUAAGAAUUGGUAACAUGCUGGUUAGGGACGUAAACAUGAUUGGUAAAGGAAAAACACAGCUUGCUGGCAACCAAGAAGUGAGAAGCAUUCAGAAACCAUUCAAAACUCUAUUAAAGCCAGUUGAGCUCCGUAACUCCAUGUAACUGGACUGUAACUUCAGUUUGGAGUUUUUAACCUUUUCGCAGAUACCUAGACAUCUUUUGCAUAAUGUGUCACUUGAAGGACCAUUCUGCAAAAUAAGUCUGGUUACAAAAGGAUUUUGAGAAAACCUGCAAUCCUCUCCAGGCAAAGCUAUGUCUUUUCACAGUUUUCUUCUCAGUUAAUGGUAGCCUCCGGGUAUACAAUUUUACCUAAACCAGCCUCCAAAUUUUCAUACUGUAAUCUGAUCUAUACUUCGAACAAUUAUAUUCUCUCUUAACCUUUUCAAUGUAGCGAUGGACUUCUUUAGCGUACAGUGCAUCCAUUUUUCUACAAGGAAUGAGUUUUUUUUUGUUUGCAGAACCUUACUUUUCAACUCUAAUCCAGGUCAUUAAGUUUUUCAACUGCUGCUUUUGGCUUUUUUCCCCCUUGCAUGUUGUCAUUCCUCCAAUAUUCUUGGAUUUAUUUGUGCAGCCUGCUUCAGUAGAUUCUCUCAUGAUAUUGGAUUGUUAAAAUAUGUAUGCCUGUCACUUUUUUGAAGGAGAUAAAAGAAAAAUUUAAUCUGUUUGGUUUUUGAGCCCUUACAGCAUCUCUUUUUUCUCUGCUGAUAAUAAAAAAAUAGGAAGUAGUUUUAUGGAUAGGAAUCGCUGAACGUUAUUUUUUGAGUUUUCGGGUAUGGAGAUCCUACUCAAAGUACAAACUUCUAAUUCUUGUAGGGAAGAGGGCAAAACUGACGAAACAAAUGUUUUUCUUGUUUGAGACUUAUUUGAGUUUUACCAUAUGAACCUAAUUUUUAACCAUGAAGGUGUACGUAACAAUCACUUUCUACCUACUUUUAAAAUGCUGCAAUUGAAGCAUAUACCUAAUUGUCUCUGAAGUUCAGCUCUCGAAAUGUUGCAAUAAAGGGCGUAUUGAAUUUCUUAUGAAUGAUUUUCCAACAGGAUCUCUAAGAUGUGCAAGUGUGAGGCGACAUUAUAAUCAAAUCAGAGACAGGAGACAGUCCAGGGAAGACAUCAAGAAAGUAAAUUCCACACAACAUUGCCUUUUGAUGUAUAAUAUUGAUUGUGCCCAUUUUUGCAAAAGAGUGCUAUCCAUAGAAUAAAUGCUUUGUAAAUAGCCUCCAUUUGCAAAGAUGAACCCAACUGUCCAUUAGGUACUGAUAUUAUCCUCAAAUUGUACGUUUGCUUAAUGAAAUCAACUCCAUGCACUGUUUGAAUACAGAAAAUAGAAGGCAUUUAUGAAGCAUCGGAUUUUAGAUCACAGUCAAUAAUUUUGUGGCGGAUUGAUCAGUUUUUUGAUUCUGUUUAUUUGUACGCAAUGAUUUGUAUCUUCAAGUCACAACAUAAGAUAGUACCUAAUUAUGACCAGAUACCUGUUUAUUCACUCAAAAUCUGUCAAUGACCAUGCUUACAUUACAAUUUCCCAAUUAAGAGUUAGGCACUUCAUUGAACCAUUCGUUAGAACCAGACCCUUUUUAUGUAAGAAUUCAAUUUGCAACAAAAACUUUUCAAAAACUGAUCUCUUAGGCGUAGGUGGUUUCAAAUGCAGCAAGUCGAUUUUAAAAUGAGGUAUUUGUGAAGAAUUGAAGGAAUUAAUGCAUUUUAGUUUCUGUCAUAAAACCGAUUUCUUUUCCCUUUUUUUCUCUUUCAGAAUGCAUUUUAUUUUUAGAAGUUUUGUCAGAGUUGUGCAUUUUGUAGGCCAUAGCCAGCCAAGAAUAGGUUUUAGACUUACCUAAAGAAGAUCAAAAUCUUCUACAAUGGUUUCAAUCCAAACUUUUAUGAGGAUACAUAAUGAGAACUCGAAGGAAUAAACCAAAAUCCUUUAUUGUGAAUCCAGAUCUCUCUUUAAGAAUUUUCUGAUUGUGUGAUAUAAAAUUUAAACCCUACCUCAACGAUGAAUUGAUUUUUUUUGGCACAGAAGUGUACCCACUCUUUAUGACGAAAAAGAGACCAUCAAUCUGUAUCUAUUGUGUAUGUAUGUAAAGUUCAAUCGCAAAAUUUUAUAAAAUAAAAAAAGUUUGUUUCAAUAGUCGUGACUUCAAUUUCGAAACCUGCAAAAACCUGCUUCCACAGCUUACUUGAGGAUGAUAAGUAGCUUUAGCUUACUCAAAGAUGGUGAAAA